Molecule: ribosomal RNA, 449 nt
Filed under: uncultured bacterium
Lineage: Bacteria
Description: partial 16S ribosomal RNA
Rfam family: Bacterial small subunit ribosomal RNA
Source: RNAcentral
AAUGAACGCUGGCGGCAGGCCUAACACAUGCAAGUCGAACGGAUCCUUCGGGAUUAGUGGCGGACGGGUGAGUAACGCGUGGGAACAUACCCUUUGGUACGGAAUAGCCUCGGGAAACUGGGAGUAAUACCGUAUGUGGUCGAGAGACGAAAGCUUUAUCGCCGAAGGAUCGGCCCGCGUUGGAGUAGGUAGUUGGUGGGGUAAUGGCCUACAAAGCCGACGCUCCAUAGGUGGUUUGGGAGGAUGAUCAGCCACACUGGGACUGGGACACGGCCCAGACUCCUACGGGAGGCAGCAGUGGGGAAUCUUAGACAAUGGGGGAAACCCUGAUCUAGCCAUGCCGCGUGAUCGAUGAAGGCCUUAGGGUUGUAAAGAUCUUUCAGGUGGGAAGAUAAUGACUGUACCACCAGAAGAAGCCCCGGCUAACUCCGUGCCAGCCGCCGCGGUAA